AUUGAACGCUGGCGGCAGGCUUAACACAUGCAAGUCGAGCGGGGGGAGGUAGCUUGCUACCGGACCUAGCGGCGGACGGGUGAGUAAUGCUUAGGAAUCUGCCUAUUAGUGGGGGACAACAUCUCGUAAGGGAUGCUAAUACCGCACACGUCCUACGGGAGAAAGCAGGGGAUCUUCGGACCUUGCGCUAAUAGAUGAGCCUAAGUCGGAUUAGCAAGUUGGUGGGGUAAAGGCCUACCAAGGCGACGAUCUGUAGCGGGUCUGAGAGGAUGAUCCGCCACCAGGGGACUGAGACACGGCCCAGACUCCUACGGGAGGCAGCAGUGGGGAAUAUUGGACAAUGGGGGGAACCCUGAUCCAGCCAUGCCGCGUGUGUGAAGAAGGCCUUAUGGUUGUAAAGCACUUUAAGCGAGGAGGAGGCUACUUUAGUUAAUACCUAGAGAUAGUGGACGUUACUCGCAGAAUAAGCACCGGCUAACUCUGUGCCAGCAGCCGCCGUAA
RNAcentral lists this ribosomal RNA (501 nucleotides) under uncultured bacterium. RNAcentral's name for it is "partial 16S ribosomal RNA". It matches the Rfam family "Bacterial small subunit ribosomal RNA", at positions 30 to 523 of the family's 1533-position model. The record is from RNAcentral.